GCCAGAGAACUACGAGCUAAGCUUAAAACUCAAAGGACCUGACGGUACCCUAUGCCCCCUAGAGGAGCCUGUCUUAUAAUCGAUAUUCCCCGCUCAACCUCACCAUUUUUGGCUGUUUUUCAGCUUGUAUACUUCCGAUGAUAGCUUACCGCAUGAGUGAAACUUAGUGAGCAUAAUGAUUACACAUUACACCAAUACACCAGGUCAAAGUGCAGCAAACAAAAUGGAAUAUAGAUGGGCUACACUCUCUAAUAUAGAAGACACGAAAAGAUUAUUUGAAAUUAUGAUCGGAAGGUGGAUUUAGAAGUAAAUAGAAGUUAGAGUAUUCUAUUUA
RNAcentral lists this ribosomal RNA (334 nucleotides) under Eleutherodactylus sp. KU291639. RNAcentral describes it as "partial 12S ribosomal RNA". Lineage: Eukaryota; Metazoa; Chordata; Amphibia; Anura; Eleutherodactylidae. The record is from RNAcentral.